CCCCGUACACAAAAAUGCACAUGCUGUGAGCUCGAUGAGUAGGGCGGGACACGUGGUAUCCUGUCUGAAUAUGGGGGGACCAUCCUCCAAGGCUAAAUACUCCUGACUGACCGAUAGUGAACCAGUACCGUGAGGGAAAGGCGAAAAGAACCCCGGCGAGGGGAGUGAAAAAGAACCUGAAACCGUGUACGUACAAGCAGUGGGAGCACGCUUAGGCGUGUGACUGCGUACCUUUUGUAUAAUGGGUCAGCGACUUAUAUUCUGUAGCAAGGUUAACCGAAUAGGGGAGCCGAAGGGAAACCGAGUCUUAACUGGGCGUUAAGUUGCAGGGUAUAGACCCGAAACCCGGUGAUCUAGCCAUGGGCAGGUUGAAGGUUGGGUAACACUAACUGGAGGACCGAACCGACUAAUGUUGAAAAAUUAGCGGAUGACUUGUGGCUGGGGGUGAAAGGCCAAUCAAACCGGGAGAUAGCUGGUUCUCCCCGAAAGCUAUUUAGGUAGCGCCUCGUGAAUUCAUCUCCGGGGGUAGAGCACUGUUUCGGCAAGGGGGUCAUCCCGACUUACCAACCCGAUGCAAACUGCGAAUACCGGAGAAUGUUAUCACGGGAGACACACGGCGGGUGCUAACGUCCGUCGUGAAGAGGGAAACAACCCAGACCGCCAGCUAAGGUCCCAAAGUCAUGGUUAAGUGGGAAACGAUGUGGGAAGGCCCAGACAGCCAGGAUGUUGGCUUAGAAGCAGCCAUCAUUUAAAGAAAGCGUAAUAGCUCACUGGUCGAGUCGGCCUGCGCGGAAGAUGUAACGGGGCUAAACCAUGCACCGAAGCUGCGGCAGCGACGCUUAUGCGUUGUUGGGUAGGGGAGCGUUCUGUAAGCCUGUGAAGGUGUGCUGUGAGGCAUGCUGGAGGUAUCAGAAGUGCGAAUGCUGACAUAAGUAACGAUAAAGCGGGUGAAAAGCCCGCUCGCCGGAAGACCAAGGGUUCCUGUCCAACGUUAAUCGGGGCAGGGUGAGUCGACCCCUAAGGCGAGGCCGAAAGGCGUAGUCGAUGGGAAACAGGUUAAUAUUCCUGUACUUGGUGUUACUGCGAAGGGGGGACGGAGAAGGCUAUGUUGGCCGGGCGACGGUUGUCCCGGUUUAAGCGUGUAGGCUGGUUUUCCAGGCAAAUCCGGAAAAUCAAGGCUGAGGCGUGAUGACGAGGCACUACGGUGCUGAAGCAACAAAUGCCCUGCUUCCAGGAAAAGCCUCUAAGCAUCAGGUAACAUCAAAUCGUACCCCAAACCGACACAGGUGGUCAGGUAGAGAAUACCAAGGCGCUUGAGAGAACUCGGGUGAAGGAACUAGGCAAAAUGGUGCCGUAACUUCGGGAGAAGGCACGCUGAUAUGUAGGUGAAGUCCCUCGCGGAUGGAGCUGAAAUCAGUCGAAGAUACCAGCUGGCUGCAACUGUUUAUUAAAAACACAGCACUGUGCAAACACGAAAGUGGACGUAUACGGUGUGACGCCUGCCCGGUGCCGGAAGGUUAAUUGAUGGGGUCAGCGCAAGCGAAGCUCUUGAUCGAAGCCCCGGUAAACGGCGGCCGUAACUAUAACGGUCCUAAGGUAGCGAAAUUCCUUGUCGGGUAAGUUCCGACCUGCACGAAUGGCGUAAUGAUGGCCAGGCUGUCUCCACCCGAGACUCAGUGAAAUUGAACUCGCUGUGAAGAUGCAGUGUACCCGCGGCAAGACGGAAAGACCCCGUGAACCUUUACUAUAGCUUGACACUGAACAUUGAGCCUUGAUGUGUAGGAUAGGUGGGAGGCUUUGAAGUGUGGACGCCAGUCUGCAUGGAGCCGACCUUGAAAUACCACCCUUUAAUGUUUGAUGUUCUAACGUUGACCCGUAAUCCGGGUUGCGGACAGUGUCUGGUGGGUAGUUUGACUGGGGCGGUCUCCUCCUAAAGAGUAACGGAGGAGCACGAAGGUUGGCUAAUCCUGGUCGGACAUCAGGAGGUUAGUGCAAUGGCAUAAGCCAGCUUGACUGCGAGCGUGACGGCGCGAGCAGGUGCGAAAGCAGGUCAUAGUGAUCCGGUGGUUCUGAAUGGAAGGGCCAUCGCUCAACGGAUAAAAGGUACUCCGGGGAUAACAGGCUGAUACCGCCCAAGAGUUCAUAUCGACGGCGGUGUUUGGCACCUCGAUGUCGGCUCAUCACAUCCUGGGGCUGAAGUAGGUCCCAAGGGUAUGGCUGUUCGCCAUUUAAAGUGGUACGCGAGCUGGGUUUAGAACGUCGUGAGACAGUUCGGUCCCUAUCUGCCGUGGGCGCUGGAGAACUGAGGGGGGCUGCUCCUAGUACGAGAGGACCGGAGUGGACGCAUCACUGGUGUUCGGGUUGUCAUGCCAAUGGCACUGCCCGGUAGCUAAAUGCGGAAGAGAUAAGUGCUGAAAGCAUCUAAGCACGAAACUUGCCCCGAGAUGAGUUCUCCCUGACCCUUUAAGGGUCCUGAAGGAACGUUGAAGACGACGACGUUGAUAGGCCGGGUGUGUAAGCGCAGCGAUGCGUUGAGCUAACCGGUACUAAUGAACCGUGAGGCUUAACCUU
This 2571-nucleotide ribosomal RNA is filed under the name Escherichia coli. Its description in RNAcentral is "partial 23S ribosomal RNA". It matches the Rfam family "Bacterial large subunit ribosomal RNA", at positions 371 to 2925 of the family's 2925-position model. Lineage: Bacteria; Pseudomonadati; Pseudomonadota; Gammaproteobacteria; Enterobacterales; Enterobacteriaceae. The record is from RNAcentral.